AGAGACAGGGGCAAUGUUUGGUGGUUUGGGCAGGCUCAAUCUAUUUUGGGUGAUAGUUCUCAGUGCCAUUUUGAAGACUAUUAAAAUUGUUGAGCCAAGACCUUUCGUUUAGUUUGUAUAUAAAAUACUACCUUAUCCUCAGGAACCAAGUCAGAACAGUCUAGGAGGUGAACCAAUUUCUAAUGACUUAAUCUACCUUCAGGGACGAAGGUAGCUAAAGUGUAGGGACGAAGAUGGAGAAUGCAUUGUGAAUGCUUUAUUUAACAACUGAUUAUUAAAAGUUACAUGCAAAGGAUGAAGCUGAAAAAGAUAAUCUAAACAUGAUAGCAUGUGCUCAAAAAACACUUGCAUACGAAGAAAGAUAGAUGCAAAAGAUGGUGCAAGAGUCGAAGAGGCUGAAAAGAGAAGCCAUGAAGAAUUCAAAGGUAAAAAUAUGGACAUGGUACACACGUUGAAUAUUUCGUUAUUUUGGUUAAAGACGUUGAGUAUUUCGUUAUUAUUUUGUUUAAAUUUUAGACUAAGAUACUAAAUGUGAGGUUAUCAGCUGCAAAGGAUUAUGUAGGGGCAAUUUCGGAAUCAAGAUUUGUAGUUAAAGAAAACGACGUUUUGUUUGGUUAUGUUUAUAGACCUGAAACAUUUAUUUGGUUGAAA
Molecule: long non-coding RNA, 651 nt
Organism: Helianthus annuus (common sunflower)
Lineage: Eukaryota; Viridiplantae; Streptophyta; Magnoliopsida; Asterales; Asteraceae
Exons: 5
Source: RefSeq, a predicted model, not a curated record